RNAcentral lists this ribosomal RNA (424 nucleotides) under uncultured bacterium. Its description in RNAcentral is "bacterial SSU rRNA". It matches the Rfam family "Bacterial small subunit ribosomal RNA", at positions 357 to 771 of the family's 1533-position model. The record is from RNAcentral.
GGGAAUUUUUCGCAAUGGGCGCAAGCCUGACGAAGCAACGCCGCGUAGAGGAUGAAGGCCCUCGCGGUCGUAAACUCUUGUCUAGCGGGACGAAACCUUUGCAGAUGAAUAAUCUGCAGAAUUGACUGUACCGCUGGAGGAAGCUCCGGCCAACUACGUGCCAGCAGCCGCGGUAAUACGUAGGGACCAAGCGUUGUUCGGAUUUACUGGGCGUAAAGGGAGCGUAGGCGGCGCGUCAAGUCAGCUGUGAAAUCUUAAGGCUUAACCUUAAGCGGUCAGCUGAUACUGUCGUGCUAGAGUGCAGAAAGGGCAAUCGGAAUUCUUGGUGUAGCGGUGAAAUGCGUAGAUAUCAAGAGGAACACCUGAGGCGAAGGCGGGUUGCUAGGCUGACACUGACGCUGAGGCUCGAAAGCUAGGGGAGCAA